ACCUGCCCUUAACUUCGGGAUAAGCCUGGGAAACCGGGUCUAAUACCGGAUACGACGGAUCCCCGCAUGGGGGUCCGUGGAAAGCUUGAUGCGGUUUUGGAUGGACUCGCGGCCUAUCAGCUAGUUGGUUGGGGUAAUGGCCCACCAAGGCGACGACGGGUAGCCGGCCUGAGAGGGUGACCGGCCACACUGGGACUGAGACACGGCCCAGACUCCUACGGGAGGCAGCAGUGGGGAAUAUUGCACAAUGGGCGAAAGCCUGAUGCAGCGACGCCGCGUGAGGGACGAAGGCCUUCGGGUUGUAAACCUCUUUCAGCAGGGAAGAAGCGAAAGUGACGGUACCUGCAGAAGAAGCGCCGGCUAACUACGUGCCAGCAGCCGCGGUAAUACGUAGGGCGCAAGCGUUAUCCGGAAUUAUUGGGCGUAAAGAGCUCGUAGGCGGUUUGUCGCGUCUGCUGUGAAAGCCCGGGGCUCAACCCCGGGUCUGCAGUGGGUACGGGCAGACUAGAGUGCAGUAGGGGAGACUGGAAUUCCUGGUGUAGCGG
Molecule: ribosomal RNA, 545 nt
Filed under: Arthrobacter sp. PDD-5b-15
Lineage: Bacteria; Bacillati; Actinomycetota; Actinomycetes; Micrococcales; Micrococcaceae
Description: bacterial SSU rRNA
Rfam family: Bacterial small subunit ribosomal RNA
Source: RNAcentral